This 274-nucleotide ribosomal RNA is filed under the name uncultured bacterium. RNAcentral describes it as "partial 16S ribosomal RNA". It matches the Rfam family "Bacterial small subunit ribosomal RNA", at positions 523 to 796 of the family's 1533-position model. The record is from RNAcentral.
AUACGGAGGGUCCGAGCGUUAUCCGGAAUUAUUUGGUUUAAAGGGUCCGUAGGCGGGCGAUUAAGUCAGUGGUGAAAGUCUGCAGCUCAACUGUAGAAUUGCCUUUGAUACUGAUUGUCUUGAGUUAUAGUGAAGUUGCCGGAAUAUGUAGUGUAGCGGUGAAAUGCAUAGAUAUUACAUAGAACACCGAUUGCGAAGGCAGGUGACUAACUGUAUACUGACGCUGAUGGACGAAAGCGUGGGGAGCGAACAGGAUUAGAAACCCUAGUAGUCC